Molecule: non-coding RNA, 24 nt
Filed under: Cricetulus griseus (Chinese hamster)
Lineage: Eukaryota; Metazoa; Chordata; Mammalia; Rodentia; Cricetidae
Source: RNAcentral
UGAGGUCUGUUCCCUAGAGGUCCC